Molecule: ribosomal RNA, 443 nt
Filed under: uncultured bacterium
Lineage: Bacteria
Description: partial 16S ribosomal RNA
Rfam family: Bacterial small subunit ribosomal RNA
Source: RNAcentral
CCUACGGGAGGCAGCAGUGGGGGAUAUUGGACAAUGGGGGGAACCCUGAUCCAGCGACGCCGCGUGAGUGAAGAAGUAUUUCGGUAUGUAAAGCUCUGUCAGCAGGGAAGAAAGCAAUGACGGUACCUGACCAAGAAGCCCCGGCUAACUACGUGCCAGCAGCCGAGGUAAUCCGUAGGGGGCAAGCGUUAUCCGGAAUGACUGGGUGUAAAGGGAACGUAGACGGCUGUGCAAGUCUGGAGUGAAAGGCGGGGGCCCAAACCGCGGACUGCUCUGGAAACUGGAUGGCUGGAGUGCAGGAGAGGGGAGCGGAAGUCCUGGUGGAGCGGUGAAAUGCGUAGAGAUUAGGAAGAACACCAGUGGCGAAGGCGGCUUACGGGACUGUAACUGACGUUGAGGCUCGAAAGCGUGGGGAGCAAACAGGAUUAGAUACCCCUGUAGUC